GAACUAUCAUUUCUCAUUCUGUCAGUCUCUGAGGUUGAAUUUUACUCUUAGUGGGCAGCUUUAUAGUAAUAAGCAACUGCGUAUAUAUCAAUGAUUUGUUAAGAAGUACCUGAAGUUAGUUCGUACAAAAUCUUUCACGUCCAUUGUACGCUGCAAUCAGUGUCGCGGCGCCGCGCGCCGCGACGCGUUGCGACGCAGAAAGGCACAGCUUCCAACGCUUCCUCUAUUUUCAAUCAGGUUCGAUUGAUAAAAAGUGUAAAUUAAGCUGUACCAGCUGCAAGCGUGGAUCUUUCGAAAAGGAGGUCGUAAUUCUUUUAAUUUCUUAAAUUCUGUUUAAUCUGUACUAUAAAUUGCUGAUCAAGUGUAUUCCUUCGACGGACGUGGCCUAAAAACGACGUGGAACACCUGAUUAUUCCAUGAAAUUCCUAUGGAUAAUCUGCUGUAGGAUUUGCUUUUCCUUUCGAAAUUCAGAAUCAUUUCGUAUAAGAAAUGAAGUAUCCAAAGCAUUAUGUCGUAUUUAAAUAAGUACCGCAAAGAAUCUUUCCUUCGCCUUAUUUAUUAGAUGAAGUGAUAAAAAUUCCAGUAAAAUGAAUUCGGAAUUAUGCACUUCUUCAAUCGAGAACCGUGAAUGAAUUAAAUUAUUCAUAGCAAACCGGGGAAACUAAAUAGAAUUGAAUAGUAUUUUAAAUACGGCUAGUCAUUAAUAAUAUGCAGUCAUUAAGUGAUACGUGGGAUAACUGGUGUGCCGCGGGCAAACUCUUCUUGAUAGUAAGACCUUUACGUCUUGACAUUAAAGUUUUGUCAAGAAUCGUUUGAAUCGAUUUUAUAGAAAGCGCAUGUGUAGAUUCCUAUAGCGGAUGAAAUCUUGGACCUUAAUUUAAGUGAUUUAAGCUUACAUUCGUAGGGGAAGUUAAUCUUAAUGGUUUUUAAAAUACGGUAUUUAUAAAUGAAUCUGGUUCUCCGGUAUUAAAUGUGUCAAGCAUAAGAAUUCAAAAACCUGUAAUUGUAGAUUCUUGAAGUACCGGCACACUGACAGUGUGACAUCGGCAAUAGAUAUUGCCGGCAACGAUAGUUGAACUACCGACUGUUGGAAUUACUAUCGGUACGUCGAUAUUUUAAAUAUUUACUUAAGACAGGUGAGGUGAGACAGUGGAGUGGAGUGGACACAAAUGAUGUCAACGUAGUCAAGUGCGAACGUGUUUUAUAUCGUGUGUCUUUAAACUGAUAAAACCCAUAUUAUAAAAAUUGUUGUGCACGAGAAUUACUACGAAUCGAAGACAACAUGUGGGCCUAAUCUGGUUUCACAGAUGACAUUCGCAGGGUGAAUAUGUCCAGAAGAAAACUCGGCAGUAAUAAACAAUUCAACAACGUGGAUUACACACAGCUACUCGAAACCGAUAAUGGGUUUUUUGAUUCCCAGUUCGUGAGACCACCUAUAAAAAUACCAUGGAAAGCUAUUAUGUUAGCAGCUCUCCUAUUUGUUGGAGGUACCAUCAUGCUGAUUGUAGGUAGUCUAAUUGUAUGUGGAUACAUUGAUUCAAAGUAUGCAGACCGUAUGUGGCCAAUUAUUAUCCUAGGAAUUCUAAUGUUUAUACCAGGUGCUUAUCAUAUGAGGGUUGCUAUUUUAGCCUAUCAAAAGGUACCAGGUUAUUCUUUUGAUGAUAUACCAGAGUUUGAUUGAUCAGAGUUAGAUUUUUCACAUGAGAAUAGCCAAAAAGUACAACUUGUUGCGUUAAGUAUUUAAUUUAUGUCAUACUCUUCUGUACAAGCUGUCGGUUUUCACUUUUGCAUUAGUGUUUUAUUAACACACGAUGUGCAAAUAUUGAGCUUAACGAAGAUAAAUGAAGAUUAUUAAAUCAUCUACAGUUUAAUUGAUCAUAUAAAACACAUGUUAUAUAUUUUUGUAAAAUUGUUACAUAUUCUUAAAGUGUGCAAUUAACUUGCACGUGUACAUAUUCUAUGUACUAUAAUUAAAUUAUAUUAUACAUUUCAUCAAUAAACUUAAGAGUUCCUACUUAAGUAUCCUCUUUGGAAUUUGUAACUAAUCUGGCGUAUAUAAAAUGUUUACAAAUAUGAAUACAUCAAUUAUUAAAAUAUACAUAAGGAGAAUAUGUAUAAAAUCUAAAUGUGGAUGAAUGAAGCAGUAGAGAGAUGAUCAUGAUCGAAGAUCGCCAACAAUUACGAAAAAUUACGCUUUAUGUAUGCGAACACACUCUUGCCAGUCAACCGUUGUGUUCUUCCCGCCCUAUGCAUGAAUAAAAUAGGUGGAUCAAAUUCUUCUUGCAAGAGUUUUCUCACUAGUAUCUUUGUUUCUUUGAUUUUUUCAUUUUCCUCGUUUGAUAUUCUAUUUUCGAACAGACGCUUGUCCGUAGGAAUGUCCUACAAAAGAAAAUGAAAUGUAAUUCAUAAAUGCAAUGGGCCGACGUGAGAUUUCAUGAAAAAUAUAACUUGCCUCAAAAAUUAAAUGUAUACCACACGCAUUUGGAUGAACAUGAUCGAUUGCAUGGCCAAUAUUCGAAGAUAAAUGUUCCAGCAAAUUCAGCAUUGCAAGAUGUAUCUCUUCCUUCGUCCAGUUAACGUUUAUAAUCAAAUACGUUACCGGACGAAACUAAUUUCAAAGAGUGAUUAAAAUCAUACACACUUAAAUUCAUGUCGAUGUGGAAUAAUGCAGUAAGCAAAGUGCUAAAUGUAAUACUGUUCAACCUGAGCCCAUAACAUCUGAUUAAUUUCGUAAUAUCUACUAUCAUGUCACGAUCUUUCGUCAGUACAAUUGAAAGUACCAAUUUGUUUGCAAGACUGUUGAGGUCUGUAAAUAACGUCGUGUCUUUAUUCGUUUACACUUGUUAUAUAUGUAUGUAAAUAUGGAACUUAUUAAUAAAUGUUACAUUAUAUAA
Ceratina calcarata is the source of this 2894-nucleotide RNA transcript. It is a transcript of the gene named transmembrane protein 230, with no coding region annotated. NCBI's taxonomy places the organism in Eukaryota, Metazoa, Arthropoda, Insecta, Hymenoptera, Apidae. The transcript has 5 exons. The record is from RefSeq and is a predicted model, not a curated record.